GACGAACGCUGGCGGCGUGCUUAACACAUGCAAGUCGAACGGAAAGGCCCUGCUUUUGUGGGGUGCUCGAGUGGCGAACGGGUGAGUAACACGUGAGUAACCUGCCCUUGACUUUGGGAUAACUUCAGGAAACUGGGGCUAAUACCGGAUAGGAGCUCCUGCUGCAUGGUGGGGGUUGGAACGUUUCGGCGGUUGGGGAUGGACUCGCGGCUUAUCAGCUUGUUGGUGGGGUAGUGGCUUACCAAGGCUUUGACGGGUAGCCGGCCUGAGAGGGUGACCGGCCACAUUGGGACUGAGAUAGGGCCCAGACUCCUACGGGAGGCAGCAGUGGGGAAUAUUGCACAAUGGGCGGAAGCCUGAUGCAGCAACGCCGCGUGCGGGAUGACGGCCUUCGGGUUGUAAACCGCUUUCGCCUGUGACGAAGCGUGAGUGACGGUAAUUGGUAAAGAAGCACCGGCUAACUACGUG
This 468-nucleotide ribosomal RNA is filed under the name uncultured bacterium. RNAcentral describes it as "partial 16S ribosomal RNA". It matches the Rfam family "Bacterial small subunit ribosomal RNA", at positions 28 to 507 of the family's 1533-position model. The record is from RNAcentral.